CUCUCUUCUUCUCUCCCUCUUGUAGUACCAUACCUCAUUCAAAGGACCCCAGUGUUACUCUAUUAUUAGAGGAUGCUGCAUUCAUAAAGACAUGCGGUAUGGUAACUGAUGGAUCCCUUCAGACUCUGGACAAGAAACAAAUCUUGCACCUUUGUUAUGUGAAGAGUGAUCAUGAUAGAGCCUGUGAGCUCCAUACUCAAGGGUCCUGGGACACUGGUCAAUGGUAGAGAGGGAGGGGGUCCUACUAAAAUGAACCUGGACCCAUCUGAGGUUACUCUAAUGGGUUCAAGACCUCAGGUUCAUGUGGGGUUUGUUCAUUGUACUUAGGAUGAGUUCAUGAGGUUCAUAAUCAUCAGACUGUCACACUCUGUACUAGUUGCUAGUGAGGCCAGUGAAGAUACCCAGUAUAGGAAUGGAUUGGAGUGCUAACUUUAUGCAGUUAAAGAAGAGUCUCGUCUCACGAUUGGACACAUUAAAGAGAUCAAGUGAAAGUCAUAUGAUGUGGUACCCGUCACCUGUUCACACCUUGUUUGAUGAAGACAUACACUGUAAUAACCAUGGGAAUGGACCAAUUGUCAUGUCCACUACAGAAUAAUUAUAGCAUCUUCGGUAAAUUUUACAUGUACAUGCAUGUAUACAAGAUUAUGUUAUUAUAUAGGGAGAGUGUAUAGUUACGCUGGAACAUUACGACUUCAGUUUAAAGCCUGGAUUGCAUUCGCCAUAUAAUGCAAUGCGAAUAAAUGCAAGAUUAAAAUGGCAAAUUUUGUGUCCACUUCAAGCAUUUUUUUUCCAUUUAUGCCUAUUCAGUUUUGAGCAUUUCAUUGAAUGAAACCUAGCUUUAGUCACGUGAGGCAAGUAUU
Molecule: long non-coding RNA, 860 nt
Organism: Amphimedon queenslandica
Lineage: Eukaryota; Metazoa; Porifera; Demospongiae; Haplosclerida; Niphatidae
Exons: 6
Source: RefSeq, a predicted model, not a curated record